This is a long non-coding RNA of Bombus impatiens (common eastern bumble bee), 1039 nucleotides long. RefSeq lists it as uncharacterized. Lineage: Eukaryota; Metazoa; Arthropoda; Insecta; Hymenoptera; Apidae. The record is from RefSeq and is a predicted model, not a curated record. The transcript has 2 exons.
AUUCUGCAAUGAAACAAAACAAUUCAUAAUUUUCAUCACUUAAAUGAUAGCUAUCCAGUUUAUCUAUUUUUAUACAAAUAGGAUUAAUAUUAUAUUUAUGUAUUUAAUUUUAUGCUGUAAUCUCGUUAGUGUACUAUCAAUUAUUAUGAACAUAAUAUAAUGCAUAUGUAUAAGACGUAAUGUUUUAUUAAAGUUGUUUACUAUAAGAAGAGGUUAGAAUCUAGAUAAAUUAACUCCUGUCUAAAUUUGGAUUCAUUUAAACUAAUAUAAAUUUAAGUAAAAAGAUGUUAUGUUAUGAACUUACUGUUUUCAUUAGAUUUCUACUUUAGUAACUAUUACUUUGUAUUAAUUAAUAUAAUAAUGAUUAUGUAAACUGUAAUUAUUUAAAAUAAAUUUUGCUCUCUUUAUCGUCAAGUAAGUAUACUUGUAAUGGUUAUUCAGUUUCACUGUUUCUAUAUAAAAUAAUUAACAAACAUUACUUAUCAUUUGAAUACUACUUAUGUAGUAUUCACCAGAUGGAAAACUAUUUUGAAAAAAUUAAAAUUUCUAAAAAUAUGGUGGUAUAAUUACUUAUAACAAUAAUUUUUAUGGAAUUAAUCCUUGCAUCUCAUCUUGUUUCAACAUAUAAAAGCUACUUUAGGUACAGUACUUGAAAUGUUAAGACAUGUUAAGACAUAAUUUGAAUUGAAUAAUUGCGAGAAAGCUCUGUAGUAAUUGAUUUUUGUAUAAUAAUUGCAAUUUGUUAACAAUUGUAAUAAUAAUGAAUGUCAAAAUUGAAAUUUCAUAUUUAUAUACAAAAAAUUAUUUAUAAUUACUCUAAUGAUAUGAUGAUCAACUAAGAAAAAUUAUUUAUCAAAGUAUUGAAGUUUUCACAGUCAAGAAAUUGGGUUAAUAACUUUUUUGCCUCAAAAAAAUAAAACAUUUUUCAUAAUGUAAUCCAUAUAUUGCCUAUGAAAUAGCAAAAAAUAAUGGAUUUCAAUGGGAUUUUGAUUAAAACUAUUGGAACAUUUUUGUUAAUAAAUAUAUUUUUGUAAGAAAC